Gossypium raimondii (Peruvian cotton) is the source of this 144-nucleotide non-coding RNA. The record is from Rfam. NCBI's taxonomy places the organism in Eukaryota, Viridiplantae, Streptophyta, Magnoliopsida, Malvales, Malvaceae.
UAUUAAAACUUUCAUCCAUUUGUACUGUUAAAACUGACAUAACAGACGAAAUAAUUAGACAACAACACGUGGCAUGCCAUGUUUACAAAAUAUUAAUACACCGAGACCAAUUUUUAAUGAUAAAAAUUGAUAAAAAAAUUAACA